RNAcentral lists this ribosomal RNA (252 nucleotides) under uncultured Bacteroidales bacterium. Its description in RNAcentral is "partial 16S ribosomal RNA". It matches the Rfam family "Bacterial small subunit ribosomal RNA", at positions 524 to 776 of the family's 1533-position model. Lineage: Bacteria; Pseudomonadati; Bacteroidota; Bacteroidia; Bacteroidales. The record is from RNAcentral.
UACGGAGGAUGCGAGCGUUAUCCGGAUUUAUUGUGUUUAAAGGGUGCGUAGGCGGAAUAUCAAGUCAGCGGUAAAAAUUCGGGGCUCAACCCCGUCGUGCCGUUGAAACUGGCGGGCUGGAGUUGGAGAGAAGUACGCGGAAUGCGCGGUGUAGCGGUGAAAUGCAUAGAUAUCACGCAGAACCCCGAUUGCGAAGGCAGCAUACCGGUGCACAACUGACGCUCAGGCACGAAAGCGUGGGUAUCGAACAGG